Molecule: ribosomal RNA, 254 nt
Filed under: uncultured bacterium
Lineage: Bacteria
Description: partial 16S ribosomal RNA
Rfam family: Bacterial small subunit ribosomal RNA
Source: RNAcentral
GACGAACCGUGCGAACGUUAUUCGGAAUCACUGGGCUUAAAGCGCGUGUAGGCGGGACGGCGCGUCGGCCGCUGAAAUCCCCCGGCUCAACCGGGGAAGGGGCGCCGAUACGGCCGUCCUGGAGCGACGUAGGGGGGGCUGGAACUUCCGGUGGAGCGGUGAAAUGCGUUGAGAUCGGAAGGAACGCCCGUGGCGAAAGCGAGCCCCUGGACGUCGGCUGACGCUGAGACGCGAAAGCCAGGGGAGCGAACGGG